UUGGAGGGCAAGUCUGGUGCCAGCAGCCGCGGUAAUUCCAGCUCCAAUAGCGUAUAUUAAAGUUGUUGCAGUUAAAAAGCUCGUAGUUGAAUUUCGGGGUCAGUAGGUUGGUCAUGCCACUGGUAUGUACUGGUCUCACUGAUUCCUCCUUCCUGAUGAACUGUAAUGACAUUAAUUUGGUGUUGCAGGGAAUCUGGACUGUUACUUUGAAAAAAUUAGAGUGUUUAAAGCAGGCUAACGCCUGAAUACAUUAGCAUGGAAUAAUGAAAUAGGACGUUCGAUCCUAUUUUGUUGGUUUCUAGGAUUGACGUAAUGAUUAAUAGGGAUAGUUGGGGGCAUUAGUAUUCAAUUGUCAGAGGUGAAAUUCUUGGAUUUAUUGAAGACUAACUACUGCGAAAGCAUUUGCCAAGGAUGUUUUCAUUAAUCAAGAACGAAAGUUAGGGGAUCGAAGACGAUCAGAUACCGUCGUAGUCUUAACCAUAGACUAUGCCGACUAGGGAUCGGAUGAUGUUAAUUUUUUAAUGACUCAUUCGGCGCCUUACGGGAAAC
Molecule: ribosomal RNA, 549 nt
Filed under: uncultured Rhizophagus
Lineage: Eukaryota; Fungi; Glomeromycota; Glomeromycetes; Glomerales; Glomeraceae
Description: SSU rRNA
Rfam family: Eukaryotic small subunit ribosomal RNA
Source: RNAcentral